UCAGGGGCAUGAGCCAGCAUGCAGAACUGCUUGCUUUGUUGAUGAGCUGGAAAGAGUUAAGUCACUGAAGAAAGGAAAUGUGACUGAGAGGUUAGAAGAGGAACCUGAGAGUCGAGUCCUGGCUUCCCUUCUUGACUUCACCAUGGAUGUGCUGCAUGACACCGCUCAACUUGGAGAAAGGAAGCACUUAUGUUUUCCGAGAAGCCUCGAAGUCCUGCUGCAGAAUGCGGAGCUCGGUGUUUGUGUGAGUGCCUCUAAAUACAGUUGCACCUGGACUUCCACCUUAAUGCCUCUAAAAUGUUUGGUGCUUUCUUCCAAGAGGUGACUGAGACUUUAAGAACAUAAGAGGCUGGGUAAGUAUCA
RNAcentral lists this long non-coding RNA (363 nucleotides) under Dromaius novaehollandiae (emu). RNAcentral's name for it is "lncRNA (ENSDNVG00000007326.1)". The record is from RNAcentral. Lineage: Eukaryota; Metazoa; Chordata; Aves; Casuariiformes; Dromaiidae.